UGUAUCCUGAAGAGUCACCGGUGUGGAGCUUGUGAUUGUGACAAAGAGAUUGUUUGUUUUAACAUACUCACCGAGGAAAAAUUAGAACAUACAGAUAUGCAGUUAAGUAUCACCGAUAUCCUAAGUACUCAGGGAUGAACAUGUUAACAUUUCUAUGAAGAAACUUCCCAAUAUUUCAGGAGUAGUAAAGACGGUGGCUGCUGGGAGAAAAGUGUGAAAGGGGGAAAUGAACCUGGAGCUAAGGUUCUUUGGUGGAAAUAAAGCUUCCAAAAACAGACACUAAAUUAGGAACCAGGAGCACAUCUCAUUCUGAAAAUGGAGUCUCUCCUGUUAAGGCUACCAACUUGAAGAAUCUCCUGCCGGUAAGAGAUGGGACAAUUUGCACAUCUAUAGAAAUAAUAACAGCAAUAAA
Long non-coding RNA from Callorhinus ursinus (northern fur seal), 412 nucleotides. RefSeq lists it as uncharacterized. The record is from RefSeq and is a predicted model, not a curated record. NCBI's taxonomy places the organism in Eukaryota, Metazoa, Chordata, Mammalia, Carnivora, Otariidae.